This 253-nucleotide ribosomal RNA is filed under the name uncultured bacterium. RNAcentral describes it as "partial 16S ribosomal RNA". It matches the Rfam family "Bacterial small subunit ribosomal RNA", at positions 524 to 776 of the family's 1533-position model. The record is from RNAcentral.
UACGUAGGGUGCGAGCGUUGUCCGGAAUUAUUGGGCGUAAAGGGCUCGUAGGCGGUUUGUCGCGUCGGGAGUGAAAACACGGGGCUUAACCCCGUGCCUGCUUCCGAUACGGGCAGACUAGAGGUAUGCAGGGGAGAACGGAAUUCCUGGUGUAGCGGUGAAAUGCGCAGAUAUCAGGAGGAACACCGAUGGCGAAGGCAGGUCUCUGGGCAAUAACUGACGCUGAGGAGCGAAAGCGUGGGGAGCGAACAGG